GAUGAACGCUGGCGGCGUGCCUAAUACAUGCAAGUCGAGCGAACAGAUAAGGAGCUUGCUCCUUUGACGUUAGCGGCGGACGGGUGAGUAACACGUGGGUAACCUACCUAUAAGACUGGGAUAACUUCGGGAAACCGGAGCUAAUACCGGAUAACAUUUGGAACCGCAUGGUUCUAAAGUGAAAGAUGGUUUUGCUAUCACUUAUAGAUGGACCCGCGCCGUAUUAGCUAGUUGGUAAGGUAACGGCUUACCAAGGCGACGAUACGUAGCCGACCUGAGAGGGUGAUCGGCCACACUGGAACUGAGACACGGUCCAGACUCCUACGGGAGGCAGCAGUAGGGAAUCUUCCGCAAUGGGCGCAAGCCUGACGGAGCAACGCCGCGUGAGUGAUGAAGGGUUUCGGCUCGUAAAACUCUGUUAUUAGGGAAGAACAAAUGUGUAAGUAACUGUGCACGUCCUGACGGUACCUAAUCAGAAAGCCCCGGCUAACUACGUG
This 497-nucleotide ribosomal RNA is filed under the name uncultured bacterium. RNAcentral's name for it is "partial 16S ribosomal RNA". It matches the Rfam family "Bacterial small subunit ribosomal RNA", at positions 28 to 507 of the family's 1533-position model. The record is from RNAcentral.